Molecule: ribosomal RNA, 465 nt
Filed under: uncultured bacterium
Lineage: Bacteria
Description: partial 16S ribosomal RNA
Rfam family: Bacterial small subunit ribosomal RNA
Source: RNAcentral
CCUACGGGUGGCAGCAGUGGGGAAUAUUGCGCCAUGGGCGAAAGCCUGACGCAGCGACGCCGCGUGAGGGAUGAAGGUCUUCGGAUCGUAAACCUCUGUCAGCAGGGAAGAACGGUCACUGUGCUAAUCAGCAGUGAAUUGACGGUACCUGCAAAGGAAGCACCGGCUAACUCCGUGCCAGCAGCCGCGGUAAUACGGAGGGUGCGAGCGUUAAUCGGAAUUACUGGGCGUAAAGCGCUCGUAGGCGGUAUGUCAAGUCAAGGGUGAAAUCCCCGCGCUCAACGUGGGAACUGCCUUUGAAACUGGCAAACUGGAGUGUGGGAGAGGAUAGUGGAAUUCCAGGUGUAGGAGUGAAAUCCGUAGAUAUCUGGAAGAACACCGAUGGCGAAGGCAGCUCUCUGGGCCGUCACUGACGCUGAGGCGCGAAAGCUGGGGGAGCGAACAGGAUUAGAUACCCGAGUAGUC